GGAGGGUGCAAGCAUUAAUCGGGAAUUGUUGGGGCGUAAAGGGCGCGUAGGUGGUAUAUCAAGUCAUAUGUGAAAUUCCAAGGGCUCAACCUUGGGAGCUGCAUGUGAAACUGAUAUUCUAGAGGAAAAGCGGAGAAAACGGAAUUUCCCAUGUAGCGGUGAAAUGCGUAGAUAUGGGAAGGAACACCGGUGGCGAAGGCGGUUUUCUAGCUUUUACCUGACACUGAGGCGCGAAAGCGAGGGGAGCAAACAGGAUUAGAUACCCUGGUAGUCCUCGCUGUAAACGUUGCAUACUUGAUGUGAUUGGGCUCAACCCCAAUUGUGUCGGAGCUAACGCGAUAAGUAUGCCGCCUGGGGAGUACGCUCGCAAAGGGUGA
RNAcentral lists this ribosomal RNA (377 nucleotides) under uncultured organism. RNAcentral describes it as "partial 16S ribosomal RNA". It matches the Rfam family "Bacterial small subunit ribosomal RNA", at positions 527 to 897 of the family's 1533-position model. The record is from RNAcentral.